CAUUAUCUCUCUCCUCGUGCUUCUUUUUCAGAGUCUCAGGAACUUCGGCCUUAUUCUCUCUCCUCCAUUUGCUCUCCUUCGUGAUUCUCUCUCCUCACCGCUACCGAUCCUCACCUGCUGCAACCACUGCACCGCCACCAUCUCCACGCUGCUAUGAUCUACGCAUCAUCUCCUCUGCUACAAUUGCUUUGAUUUGAUGUUCUUCAUGCGAAAAAUACUGCAACACUCAAUUAUCCACUUGAAUCUGCAAUAACCGAGAAUAAAGUUGAAGAAAUGUAAUGCUGUUGAGCCGUUGAAGUUGGUUAAUGGGAGGCCAUCUGUCCCAAUCCUUGACGAGCAGUUGCUGCCGAAGUUUCUGCACUCAAAACGCUUGGAAAGCUCUGUAAACAGGAGUCAUACAAGGUUGAAACUGUUUUCUGGCUUGGCAAAUCCUGCAUUGACUAAGAUCAAUUCAGAUUUCAUAUCACGUAAUCCAAGAAAACAAUCAUAAUGCAGAACGUAUAAGGGCUGCCAAAAUUCCUCUGUACCUUGUGGGUGUCCUGUUCCUGUAUGCCGCCUAAACGGCUGACAUCUUAUGUUGAUUCUAUUUCUUGGCAUCUUCAAGUCCAUGAAGCUUCUGCAAUGUGAAUUCCUAACUUCUGAAGGUGGAUCGUUAAGGGUUUGUCCAAGCUUUCUACUCAGUUGAAUGAUAAAACUUUUGAACUUGAGAUCAAUUCAGUGGAUAAAAUAAUUCUUCACUACCAAUUACAAAGGAAGGUAUUAGCAUGCAAUAUCCAUACUCUUUUGCAAAUCUAAUUUGAUAACCUGCUGAGUAAUUUCCACAAUUUUUAUAUUUCAAAAAAUGAUGAGAUGCAAGAGACCAUUCUUCUACUUAGGCAGCUGGUUUGCACAUUGUCAGAUAUAUGCUAUGUAUGUCCAGAAGGACAAAGUCCGUCUUCUAUGCUCAAUUGUGAUCCUAUCAAUUCAGAUGAGAAAAACAAGGAAGGGAAGGAUUCACUUCAUAAAAACAAGGGCCCAUCUAGAUCAAUCAAUUAAUUAUUUUGCAAAAGUUGACUUGUGUUGACUUCGUGAAAAUGCCCGACACGCUGGGAUUCCUUGUGUGCCAGAUUUUGCAGCUUCAAAUAUAUAUCCAGAACAAAGAGGGGGCAAACAUAAACACCAUGAAAUUUAAAUACUCGAAAAAGAGAAUGAGGCUCAAACAAGAACAAGAACAUACUUGCAUUUGCUAGUAUCUCAGAAGUGACAGUCACACUGUUUUCUACAACUUGCUUCUGCAACAAUCUCUGCUCCUGACAACCUCUUGGGCAGUAUAUUCUAUAAAUUAACAGAAAUCCAACUGCGAGAAUUCCCAAAACUACUAGUACUCCUCCAAUCACACAGACUAAAGUUAGUGCAUUGAAGUGAGUGAUUAAAUUGCCUUUCUUCAGUAGCUUCAAUGUUUUAUGUAGGAGUCAGUGAGGAAAGUAUUUCUUUGAAGUGAGUGAUUAUGCAAGUCAGUCAUGUAGUGGAAGCUACUAGGUGAGUAAAGUGAGGGUGUAAUGCAAUGAUAUUCUGAAUUUCACUAGUUGUUAGAAUUUUUCUAUGGGAGCUCCAUGCUGGACGGAUCCCCUGGACACGUGGCUUGUCAAUUUUGUGAGUACUUUAGUAAUUUUGAUUUACUCUAUUAGUUCAAGUGAUGCCUAUUAGCUCAAGUUUUCGAAUAAUUUCGAUUUACUCUUUUUUGGUUUUUUGCUUUACUUUUGUUCAUUUCAUUUAAA
Long non-coding RNA from Spinacia oleracea (spinach), 1757 nucleotides. RefSeq lists it as uncharacterized. The record is from RefSeq and is a predicted model, not a curated record. NCBI's taxonomy places the organism in Eukaryota, Viridiplantae, Streptophyta, Magnoliopsida, Caryophyllales, Amaranthaceae. The transcript has 6 exons.